UCGGGACAUAAACCUCGUCGUUCUCAAGAGAUUGAGUGUUGGCGUGGUGACGUCUGUGGCUAAUUUUCCAAGAGAAGUAAGGGACCAUGAGAGAAGAGUGGACAACAAGGCCGACAAGGUCAUUGAUCCAGCCAUAGUCACUGAAGGCAUCAUGAUCACACUCAUGGCCUACGACCCAAGCCCCAGUCAAGACACAACCUUGGACAGCAAUGUAAGCCGCCCAUCCCAAGUAAUUAAGAGGAUGCGGAAGGUACUGGUCUAUGUAAUUCGUGGCAACAUAGUAAAGGGCAUAGGCCAUGAGGAGAUCUUGAAUGAGAUAACGAAAAGAAGUGAUGAGGGAUUUUUCAAAGCAAUGAGCAGGAAUGGCUUUCUUAAGGUCACCUAUGGUGAAAGGAGGUUUCUCAUGAGGAGCACGUCGAAGUGCUUCUGUUUCAGUUUUUUUGGCCUUAGGAGGAUCCGACAUUCGACCACCUGCACCCAUUGUUCCUGAUUACUGAAUGCCUUCAAUAUAAUCAGGAAGUAAAAUAAUUGAGUUGUGUUGGCUGUUUGAUGAAGUUUGGUGGUGUUUAGUUGAAGCUGAAGCUCUGAGUAUUUAUAAUGAAGAUAUCAUUGUAAAAUUUUAUUGGAACGGCUCGUGUUGUGGACUGUGGUGGCCUAUAGCGCCCGCCACACUUGAGUUUUCAACGUGCAAAAUAUUAUUCUUCUACUUGAAUCUGGUGUUCUGCAAGAUAUUAGUUGCCCUGUCAUGAUAAUUUGCAAAUAAGGUCAAAUAAAUUCUCAGUCUCAUAAGGCUACUCCAGGACACCACUCUUGAGUCCUUAUUGGCAGCUAUUCUUUAUUGAUUAAUGCAUUGGUAGAUUUACUUUUAGAAUAUAAAAAUAUAAUUUUAAAGUAAAGGGAUAGUGGGAUUUUAUACUAAAAGCUUAAAAAGAUUGCACUUUGCUAUCUUUGUAUCAUUUAUCAACUUCUUGCAGGUUACUUAGCAUGCCUCGUAUAGAACUCCCGCUGUUAAGAAAUACUAAACUUAAAGUGUUUUUAAUUUCAAUUUUAUUAAAAAAUUUGAUUACAUCAACAUAUUAUGAAAAACAGUUUCGAAUUUGAUGUUAUCAAGACUAGUUGGUAUUAUUAGGAAAAAUUGUUAGUAUUGCCUUUUGGGAUAUAUAUCAUGGAUUGGUUGAGCAUGACUAAACAAGACUGUUUUCUCAUAAUAUAUAGUUUUUCCCAUUUUAUGAAUGGCCAAGUAGCAAAACAUAUUGUUCAGAUUUUCUUGCAGAAGCACAAGACAAUGGUAGAUGUGUGGUGUGAAAUUCGAGGGAUUCCAGACCUCUUCUGGUGAGAUUCGCUCAUCAUCUUUAUUAACAGUUACUCUUAUGUGACAACAAAUCAGCUCCGCACAUAUGUGUUGAGAGGACUAAUAAGUGGUUUUAGUUUUAAUUUUAUUAGUGAUUACAUCAACAUAUUUGUGAAAUACAGUUUUGAAUUUGAUGUUAUCCAGACUAGUUAGUAUUAUUAGGAAAAAAGAAGUUAGUAUUACCUUUUGGGAUAUAUCAUGCAUUGGUUCAGCAUGACUAAACCAGUCUGUUUUUUCAUAAUAUAUCAUUUUUCCCAAUUUAUGAAUGGCUAAGAAACAAAACAUAUUGUUUAGAUUUUCUUAUAGAGCAUAAGGCAAUGGUAGAUGUGUGGUGUAAACUUCAAGUGAUUCCGGACCUCUUCUUCUAGUGAGAUCUGCUUAUCAAUUUUAUCAACGGUUACUCUUAUGUGACAACAAAUCAGCUCUGCAUUGCUCAUAAUCAUAUAUACGUAUUUAGAGGACUAAUAAUUUUUUUAUCAUGUUGCAAGCUAUAAAUUAACAAAAUGAUAUCACCAUUGCUGCUGAUAUAAGCAUUCAUCAAUAGGUUGUUCAUCUGUUCUGGCACCAAAACUUUAUAUAUUACUUGGUGCUCUGUGGCAGGCUACUUUCUAAGAUUGGAAUUUUCAAUCUCUUUUAACCCUCAAAUCUUUACAUGAAAUGAUACGAUCGAUUAAUCAUGUCAAACAUUAACAAGACUAGUGAAGCAAAAGCAAGAGUAGCUGAUCUCUCUCAAUUUCUUUAUAUAAACAAAUUAUAUAUUAGAUAUAAUCAUCUUUAACAUUUUUAAGUUUUUCAACACAUAAUGAGAUUGUCCUUGUUCAAUAAAUAAACCAGCAUGCUCUAAGAUGUUUCUGAAUCUUAAUCAUCCACUGGAAGAAGGAUUACUGUAUCAGGCAUAUUAAAGGCACAUGCUCUUUCCCACAGACUAAAUCACUAAGAUCAUAGUUUUUAAUAAUGUCAAUAUUUCAUAAAUUUUCAUAAAUGGAAUUUUCUUUUUUGCCAAAUUAAUUUUUAUUAUGUCUCAUAAAACUAUCUGUUACUCCUUUUGCAAAUAAGGAAAAAUUCAACCAGGGACUAUGAACGGGCAAGCAUGGAAAGGCCUCAUCUUUAAAACUCUGAAUCAUCUCUUCCUAAAAACUUCAACUCUUCUGGAAAACUUUCUGAAAAUGGAAAAAAAAAAAUAAAAAUAUUUUACCUUCGAGUUAACUAAGCGAACUCAAAUGCACCAUUGGUUGCCUUUUCGAUACAGAACUACCUUUAUCCUUCUAAAUUUUAGUUUCAUGCAAAGCACAAAAAUGUUUUGAGAUUAUACACACAUUCAACAUAAGUAAUUUAUUUUUGUAGAGUACUAAUUGUAUUAACCCCACAAACAAAAUACACAGGGCAUGCCCUACUAAAAGUGGAGCAAACUCAUCCUACAAGAGGUCUCACAAGAAAGCCUGUGAGAGUGAGACCACCUUGACAGAGAACCAUAUCUCUUUGUCUUGAACUUAAAGGAAAUUUUAUCAUUGUUUAAAUUCCCAUAUUAUUUUGAAACAUUUGAAAAGCAUUUCUUAAUAUUUUAGUUACAUUUAUUUUCUAUCUUUGUACAAGAUUCCAGCCUGCCUUUUAAGGGAAAUGAGCUUUUCUUCCUGAUACAGUUCUGGCCUUUAAGCUUAGGAAAGUUUUUGGUCAAUAAUCAAAGGUGCUCUCCCUCUCAGGUGUUUGAUUAAAUUUCAUAUCUUUCUUUUUUUUUAUGUUGGUUUGUAGUACUUUGUGUUUGAUUGUCUCAGAAAAACUGAGGUUCACUGUAAUAUGUUUCAUGGAAUAUUUGCAGCAUCCACAAUGGGGACCUCCACUCAUUUUACAAAGUAUGUUCUUGGACAAUCAUAAUUUCAUUGAUGCAAUCAUACUAGGCUACAUUACAACUUACAAAUUAUCCACUGCUUGUGGACUCAUCUUAUUCAAAAUGAGCAAUAAACUAAUGAACCUACAACAUGCUAUCUAAGGAAAUGUAGAAAAUUGCAACAUGGGAAUGAGUAGAGAAAGGAGUCAAUAUCGUUUUCAGUUUCAAAUGUCCUUUCUGUACCAGUAGACCCCUUUGGUCUCUCCUUCAUCUUUCUCGACGUAAAUGCAUUCCUUCAUUUCUCUGUACAUUGCCUUAAGAAUCGGAGUUCCAUCGUAUUGAUAAUAAUCACCCAAUACAGGCUUCAUGGCCUCUGUGGCUUCGAGUCCGUGGUAAUGUGGGAUCAUGGAGAAAAUGUGGUGGCAAACAUGAGCAUUGCAUACAUUGUGGAAUACCUUGUUCAAAAUCCCAUAGUCUCUGUCAACGGUACAGAGAGCUCCCCUCAACCAAUCCCAUUCUGAUGAAUCGUAGUAAGGGACAGAUGGAUGAGUAUGAUUGAGGAUUGUGAUCAGUGUGAACCAUCCGUUAACAACUAGCAAUGGACCUCCAUAAACACAGAAGACCCAUGCAAAUCCUUUGAUUAAUACGAGACGGUAUAGACCAUAGAUGACAGUAAGAAUGGCAACAUCAGAAACAAUGAUCUGUUUACGCUCACGUUCUGUGUACAGAGGGCUAUGGGGAUCAUAGUGUGAAGUCCACCUCUCAUACUUGUGUCCCGAAACAUUGAACAUCAAGUAUAAAGGAAAACCUAUGAGGAGAGUGGUAACCCACACAAGCACACGGCCAGGAGGAUUGUUGAAAAUUUUGUAGUAGUUCCUGAUGUUAUACUUAAAUCUAGGGACAUAAACCUCAUCGUUCUCAAGGGAUUGAGUGUUGGCGUGGUGACGUCUAUGGCUAAUUUUCCAAGAGAAGUAAGGGACCAUGAGAGAAGAGUGGACAACAAGGCCAACAAGGUCAUUCACCCAACCAUAAUCACUGAAGGCAUCAUGAUCACACUCGUGGCCUACGACCCAAGCCCCGGUUAAGACACAACCUUGGACAGCAAUGUAAGCUGCCCAACCUAAGUAAUUAAGAGGAUGUGGAAGGUACUGGUCUAUGUAAUUUGUGGCAACAUAGUAAAGGGCAUAGGCCAUGAGGAGAUCUUGAAUGAG
Molecule: long non-coding RNA, 4387 nt
Filed under: Daucus carota (carrot)
Lineage: Eukaryota; Viridiplantae; Streptophyta; Magnoliopsida; Apiales; Apiaceae
Description: long non-coding RNA (DCAR_LNC005748)
Source: RNAcentral